AUCUUAAUUUUAGCCUAGAGAGGGACAGCUCUGUAGGAAUGGAAACAACCUUUUAUAGUGAAUAAAUCUUAUAAUAUAAACCCAUUGUUGGCCUAAAAGCAGCCAUCAAUAAAGAAAGCGUUAAAGCUCAACACUAUAAACCCUUAUAUACCUAAAACUUCAAUGAAUUCCUAUAAAUACUAAUUGGGUUAAUCUAUAACUAUAUAGAUGAGAUACUGUUAACAUGAGUAACAAGAACACUGUUCUCCAAGCACAAGCCUAUAACAACCCGGAUAACCAUUGUUAGUUAACAUUCACAGGUGAAAACUCCACCAAUAAAAUUAACCUACACCUAAAAUGUUAAUCCAACACAGGCGUGCAGCAAGGAAAGAUUAAAAGAAGUAAAAGGAACUCGGCAAACAAGAAUCCCGCCUGUUUACCAAAAACAUCACCUCCAGCAUAAUAAGUAUUGGAGGCACCGCCUGCCCAGUGACAAACGUUUAACGGCCGCGGUAUCCUGACCGUGCAAAGGUAGCAUAAUCACUUGUUCCUUAAUUGGGGACUGGAAUGAAUGGCCUCACGAGGAUUCAACUGUCUCUUACUUCUAAUCAGUGAAAUUGACCUCCCCGUGAAGAGGCGGGGAUGCCACAAUAAGACGAGAAGACCCUAUGGAGCUUAAAUUAACUGACUUAACUAUCUUACCAUAUACCCUAAUGGAACAAACAAAAAGCAAAUAAGCCAGUAAUUUCGGUUGGGGUGACCUCGGAGAAUAAACUAACCUCCGAACGAUUAUAACCGAGACCUACAAGUCAAAGUACUUAAAAUCAAAUUGACCCAAUUUAUUUGAUCAACGGACCAAGUUACCCUAGGGAUAACAGCGCAAUCCUAUUCAAGAGUCCAUAUCGACAAUAGGGUUUACGACCUCGAUGUUGGAUCAGGACAUCCCAAUGGUGUAGCAGCUAUUAAUGGGUCGUUUGUUCAACGAUUAAAGUCCUACGUGAUCUGAGUCAGACCGACAUC
This 999-nucleotide ribosomal RNA is filed under the name Chionomys nivalis (European snow vole). RNAcentral describes it as "partial 16S ribosomal RNA". It matches the Rfam family "Bacterial large subunit ribosomal RNA", at positions 998 to 2623 of the family's 2925-position model. Lineage: Eukaryota; Metazoa; Chordata; Mammalia; Rodentia; Cricetidae. The record is from RNAcentral.